GAGAGCCGUGUACAUGGAGACAUGUAAGCACGGUUCGGGAGGGGGUUAUUGGAAACCUAAUAGAGUAAUCUACCAAGGCGCCGAUAGCCUACCUCAC
This 97-nucleotide non-coding RNA is filed under the name Anaerotignum lactatifermentans DSM 14214. The record is from RNAcentral. Lineage: Bacteria; Bacillati; Bacillota; Clostridia; Lachnospirales; Anaerotignaceae.